Molecule: long non-coding RNA, 705 nt
Filed under: Marmota monax (woodchuck)
Lineage: Eukaryota; Metazoa; Chordata; Mammalia; Rodentia; Sciuridae
Source: RNAcentral
GUUAAUUUCAAAAAUUGGUUGAUGAUCCAGAUCGCUUUCGGUUACUGAUUUCUACUUUAAAUCAGCUCUGAGUAUAGAAUAUAUUGUGUAUGUCAGUCUUUUUGAAUGUGUUUUGUGGCCCAAAAUAUAGUCUAACUUGUUGAAUGUUCCGUUUGUACCUGGAAACAAUAUGUCGCGGGCUGUUGUUGACAGCAUGUUCUACAAAUGUCAAUAAGCAAGUUGCUUCAUACUGUUCAUGUCUGCUAUGUUGCUGAUCUUAUUUACUAACUCCACCAAUUUCUGAGAUAGGAAUGUUGGAGUGCAACUAUCUAUUUGGGUUGAUUUAUUUCUUUUCAGCUCUAAUGGUUAUUACUGUAUAUAUUUUGAACUUUUGCUGUUAGGAACAUGCACCUUUAAGAUUAUUAUCUCUUCUUCAUGAAUUGACCUUUAAUUAGCAUGAAAUGUCCCCCUUUAUCUCAGGUAAUAUUCUGUUCUGACUCUGAUUUUACUACAUUUAAUAGAACCAUUCUAGUUUUCUUUGACAUUUACCUGGUUUGCAUGAAUGCAUCUUUCCCCAACGUUUCACUUGUAGCCUAUUUAUGUCUUUUUGCUCAGAGAAUGUUUCUUGCAGACAGUGCAUCGUUGGGUCUGGCUUUCUUAUUCGGUCUAAUAAUCUGCCUUUUGAUUGGGGUGUUUCAAUUAUUUAGAUUUAAUGCUAUGAUUGAC